CCCUAGUGGCGGACGGGUGAGUAACGCGUGGGUAACCUGCCAUAUACAGGGGGAUAACACUUAGAAAUAGGUGCUAAUACCGCAUAAGCGCACAGGGGCGCAUGCCCCGGUGUGAAAAACUCCGGUGGUAUAUGAUGGACCCGCGUCUGAUUAGCCAGUUGGCAGGGUAACGGCCUACCAAAGCGACGAUCAGUAGCCGGCCUGAGAGGGCGGACGGCCACAUUGGGACUGAGACACGGCCCAAACUCCUACGGGAGGCAGCAG
RNAcentral lists this ribosomal RNA (264 nucleotides) under uncultured bacterium. RNAcentral's name for it is "partial 16S ribosomal RNA". It matches the Rfam family "Bacterial small subunit ribosomal RNA", at positions 90 to 354 of the family's 1533-position model. The record is from RNAcentral.